CCGCUGAACUUAAGCAUAUCAAUAAGCGGAGGAAAAGAAACUAACAAGGAUUCCCCUAGUAACGGCGAGUGAAGCGGGAAGAGCUCAAGCUUAAAAUCUCCGUGCAAGUUUUGCGCGGCGAAUUGUAGUCUAUAGAGGCGUGGUCAGCGUGGGCGCUUGGGGCAAGUUCCUUGGAAGAGGACAGCAUGGAGGGUGAUACUCCCGUUCAUCCCUGAGUGGCUCGUGCGUACGACCCGUGUUCUUUGAGUCGCGUUGUUUGGGAAUGCAGCGCAAAGUAGGUGGUAAAUUCCAUCUAAAGCUAAAUAUUGGUGCGAGACCGAUAGCGAACAAGUACCGUGAGGGAAAGAUGAAAAGAACUUUGAAAAGAGAGUUAAAGAGUACCUGAAACUGCUGAAAGGGAACCGAAUCGUUUCCAGUGUCUAUAAUCCGUGGCAUAUUUCAUUGGCGAGUGUGCGCGUGCGUGUGCUGUGGCAGUGGCUUUUUUGGCUGCGCUCGGUGUGUGUGCUGUGUGUGCUUGCUGGUGCCCUGUGCUGCGGUGGGACGUCAAGGUCAGUUCGUAUGCUGCGGGAAAUGGCUGCCGAGGAGGUAGGGCUUACGCUCCGCGUUUGUCUGUUAUAUCUUGGUGGACGAGUCGUCGCGGUUGGGACUGAGGUGCCUACAACGUGCUUUUGAGUGGGUUUGUGUCUCCGUGUGCGCCGUGUGCGGAUAGCUUGCUAUGCGUGUGUGGUUGUGUGUGGAUUGAUGCGGGCUUUAACUUGUCGCCGUUCGGGACGUUGACGAAAUGGAGCGAUCCGACCCGUCUUGAAACACGGACCAAGGAGUCUAACAUGUGUGCAAGUGUUAGGGUGUGGAAACCCCAGCGCGAAAUGAAAGUGAAGGGCAGCGCAAGUUGUCUGAGGUAGGAAACGUUGCGGGCUUCGGUCUGCGGCGUGGCACUAUCGACCGAUCAUGAACCUUCGUGGUGAAAGAUUUGAGUUUGAGCACAUAUGUUGGUACCCGAAAGAUGGUGAACUAUGCCUGAGUAGGGUGAAGCCAGGGGAAACUCUGGUGGAAGCUCGUAGCGAUUCUGACGUGCAAAUCGAUCGUCAAACUUGGGUAUAGGGGCGAAAGACUAAUCGAACCAUCUAGUAGCUGGUUCCCUCCGAAAUUUCCCUCAGGAUAGCAGCAACUUAUUUACGAUAGUUUUAUGAGGUAAAGCGAAUGAUUAGAGGAUUCGGGGAAGAAACUUCCUCGACCUAUUCUCAAACUUUAAAUCUGUAAGACCUGCAGGUUUCUUAAUUGAACUUGUGGAUGUGAAUAUCAAGUUGCUAGUGGGCCAUACGGGGUAAGCUCGUCUGGCG
RNAcentral lists this ribosomal RNA (1340 nucleotides) under Phytophthora sojae. RNAcentral's name for it is "eukaryotic LSU rRNA". It matches the Rfam family "Eukaryotic large subunit ribosomal RNA", at positions 25 to 1155 of the family's 3401-position model. RNAcentral also lists the same sequence under 1 other name. The record is from RNAcentral. Lineage: Eukaryota; Oomycota; Peronosporomycetes; Peronosporales; Peronosporaceae.